This 572-nucleotide long non-coding RNA is filed under the name Homo sapiens (human). RNAcentral's name for it is "HSALNT0330937". The record is from RNAcentral. Lineage: Eukaryota; Metazoa; Chordata; Mammalia; Primates; Hominidae.
AAGCCCACAAAUGCUCACCACAAACGUUACUAUUUAAAUCCAGAAGAGAAGGCAGGUGCUUCUUGAUAAAACCAGGGCAGAGUUACAUGGUGUGGAGGAAAAGGGUGGGCUUGAGUUUCUGGCAAGCUCCAUAUGUAAGGGUUAAAAUCACCUGAGGUGAGGGACUCUAAGAGGCGCAGUGCUCAAACCUCCACUUGUACUGACUGUGUGACCUUGAGCAAGUGAUUUCAGCUCUCUGAGCUUCCGAGCUCUGAAGGCCCAGUUAGAUGAUACACCUAGAACACGCCUGGAACGAGAGCGGGUACAUGGCAAACACUAAGGAAGAUCUAGCUACGGUGAUUGCAGUGUCUUCUGUUUAGAGAAGAGGACUGGCUUCUCCUGCACCUGAGGCCUGGAGGGUAAAGCAGAGGAGCAGAAGCAAUAAACAUGGGAGAUGGAAGGAUCUGAAACCAGCAGAGGGCCCACGGUGUUUCAGGCCCUUUUCAAGGAUAAAGGUGUACAAAGAUGAAGAAACACAGUCCUUGCCUCCAGGGGUUUAGAGUCUAGUGUUCCUAUAACGUGUAAUAGCAAUA